GACGAACGCUGGCGGCGUGCUUAACACAUGCAAGUCGAACGGAAAGGCCCUGCUGUUGUGGGGUGCUCGAGUGGCGAACGGGUGAGUAACACGUGAGUAACCUGCCCUUGACUUUGGGAUAACUUCAGGAAACUGGGGCUAAUACCGGCUAGGAGCUCCUGCUGCAUGGUGGGGGUGGGAAAGUUUCGGCGGUUGGGGAUGGACUCGCGGCUUAUCAGCUUGUUGGUGGGGGAGUGGCUUACCAAGGCUUUGACGGGUAGACGGCCUGAGAGGGUGACCGGCGACCUUGGGACUGAGAUACGGCGCAGACUCCUACGGGAGGCAGCAGUGGGGAAUAUUGCACAAUGGGCGGAAGCCUGAUGCAGCAACGCCGCGUGCGGGAUGACGGCCUUCGGGUUGUAAACCGCUUUCGCCUGUGACGAAGCGUGAGUGACGGUAAUGGGUAAAGAAGCACCGGCUAACUACGUG
This 468-nucleotide ribosomal RNA is filed under the name uncultured bacterium. Its description in RNAcentral is "partial 16S ribosomal RNA". It matches the Rfam family "Bacterial small subunit ribosomal RNA", at positions 28 to 507 of the family's 1533-position model. The record is from RNAcentral.